CUACGGGGCGCACCAGUGAGGAAUAUUGCGCAAUGGGGGCAACCCUGACGCAGUAACGCCGCGUGUACGAUGAAUCAGUUUAUCUGUGUAAAGUACUGUUAACCGGGACGAAAAGAUGUAUAAGCUACAUUUAUAUGACGGUACCGGUAGAGGAAGCUCCGGCUAACUCCGUGCCAGCAGCCGCGGUAAUACGGGGGGAGCUAGCGUUGUCCGGAAUCAUUGGGCGUAAAGGGCAUGUAGGUUGGACUUUAAGUCAGUUGUUAAAUAGUACGGCUUAACCGUAUUCUGCAAUUGAUACUGGAGUUCUUGAGUGUGAGAGGGGACAGAGGAAUACCUGGUGUAGCGGUGGAAUGCGUAGAUAUUAGGUAAAACACUUGAGGCGAAGGCGUCUGUCUGGCUCAUCACUGACACUGAAAUGCGAAAGCAUGGGGAGCAAACAGGAUUAGAUACCCCCGUAGUC
RNAcentral lists this ribosomal RNA (460 nucleotides) under uncultured bacterium. RNAcentral describes it as "partial 16S ribosomal RNA". It matches the Rfam family "Bacterial small subunit ribosomal RNA", at positions 339 to 795 of the family's 1533-position model. The record is from RNAcentral.